Molecule: ribosomal RNA, 760 nt
Filed under: Streptomyces sp.
Lineage: Bacteria; Bacillati; Actinomycetota; Actinomycetes; Kitasatosporales; Streptomycetaceae
Description: bacterial SSU rRNA
Rfam family: Bacterial small subunit ribosomal RNA
Source: RNAcentral
CGAUGAACCUCACUUCGGGAGGGGAUUAGUGGCGAACGGGUGAGUAACACGUGGGCAAUCUGCCCUGCACUCUGGGACAAGCCCUGGAAACGGGGUCUAAUACCGGAUACGACUACCGAACGCAUGUCCUGGGGGUGGAAAGCUCCGGCGGUGCAGGAUGAGCCCGCGGCCUAUCAGCUUGUUGGUGAGGUAACGGCUCACCAAGGCGACGACGGGUAGCCGGCCUGAGAGGGCGACCGGCCACACUGGGACUGAGACACGGCCCAGACUCCUACGGGAGGCAGCAGUGGGGAAUAUUGCACAAUGGGCGCAAGCCUGAUGCAGCGACGCCGCGUGAGGGAUGACGGCCUUCGGGUUGUAAACCUCUUUCAGCAGGGAAGAAGCGCAAGUGACGGUACCUGCAGAAGAAGCGCCGGCUAACUACGUGCCAGCAGCCGCGGUAAUACGUAGGGCGCAAGCGUUGUCCGGAAUUAUUGGGCGUAAAGAGCUCGUAGGCGGCUUGUCGCGUCGGUUGUGAAAGCCCGGGGCUUAACCCCGGGUCUGCAGUCGAUACGGGCAGGCUAGAGUUCGGUAGGGGAGAUCGGAAUUCCUGGUGUAGCGGUGAAAUGCGCAGAUAUCAGGAGGAACACCGGUGGCGAAGGCGGAUCUCUGGGCCGAUACUGACGCUGAGGAGCGAAAGCGUGGGGAGCGAACAGGAUUAGAUACCCUGGUAGUCCACGCCGUAAACGGUGGGCACUAGGUGUGGGCCACAUUCCACGUG